This 76-nucleotide transfer RNA is filed under the name Candidatus Dadabacteria bacterium. RNAcentral's name for it is "tRNA-Ala". It matches the Rfam family "tRNA". Rfam says of the family: Transfer RNA (tRNA) molecules are approximately 80 nucleotides in length. Their secondary structure includes four short double-helical elements and three loops (D, anti-codon, and T loops). Further hydrogen bonds mediate the characteristic L-shaped molecular structure. tRNAs have two regions of fundamental functional importance: the anti-codon, which is responsible for specific mRNA codon recognition, and the 3' end, to which the tRNAs corresponding amino acid is attached (by aminoacyl-tRNA synthetases). tRNAs cope with the degeneracy of the genetic code in two manners: having more than one tRNA (with a specific anti-codon) for a particular amino acid; and 'wobble' base-pairing, i.e. permitting non-standard base-pairing at the 3rd anti-codon position. Lineage: Bacteria; Pseudomonadati; Thermodesulfobacteriota; Candidatus Dadabacteria. The record is from RNAcentral.
GGGGCCGUAGCUCAGUUGGGAGAGCGCUUGACUGGCAGUCAAGAGGUCGGGAGUUCGAAUCUCCUCGGCUCCACCA